AGUGAACGCUGGCGGUAGGCCUAACACAUGCAAGUCGAACGGCAGCACAGUAAGAGCUUGCUCUUACGGGUGGCGAGUGGCGGACGGGUGAGGAAUACAUCGGAAUCGACUUUUUCGUGGGGGAUAACGUAGGGAAACUUACGCUAAUACCGCAUACGACCUACGGGUGAAAGCAGGGGAUCUUCGGACCUUGCGCGAUUGAAUGAGCCGAUGUCGGAUUAGCUAGUUGGCGGGGUAAAGGCCCACCAAGGCGACGAUCCGUAGCUGGUCUGAGAGGAUGAUCAGCCACACUGGAACUGAGACACGGUCCAGACUCCUACGGGAGGCAGCAGUGGGGAAUAUUGGACAAUGGGCGCAAGCCUGAUCCAGCCAUACCGCGUGGGUGAAGAAGGCCUUCGGGUUGUAAAGCCCUUUUGUUGGGAAAGAAAAGCAGCAGGUUAAUACCCCGCUGUUCUGACGGUACCCAAAGAAUAAGCACCGGCUAACUUCGU
This 491-nucleotide ribosomal RNA is filed under the name uncultured bacterium. Its description in RNAcentral is "partial 16S ribosomal RNA". It matches the Rfam family "Bacterial small subunit ribosomal RNA", at positions 29 to 506 of the family's 1533-position model. The record is from RNAcentral.